UGUGUGUGUGUGCGCGUGUGAGAGAGAGAGAGAGAGAGAGAGAGAGACGAGGUGGGGCGGUGGUUUUGGGGUUUGGGAUUCUGGAUGCGGUCGAUGCUGCCUUACCCCGUGAAGACGCUGCGAAAGGAACCAAUCAAGCCCUCGUGUGAUGGAACCCUACCUUCCCUCAGAUUUGCAAUUUCUGCAUAUGCUAGAUUCUCUCUGAGAUACAAAGGUCAAUCUUUUCUGUACUGAGAUUCUCUCCUAGCUUGAUGAUGAGCCUUCUUUGCCUUUGCAAAUGAAGACAGUCGUGUUGCGAUUGGCGAACGAAGCAUACGAUCUCCAGUCACUCGGAAGUUGGUUUCAUUCUCGAGUGUUUGAAGAUGAUCUGGUCAAUCUUUUUUGUACUGAGAUUUUCUUCUAUUUUGAAGAUGAGCCUUCUUUGCCUUGGCAAAUGAGGACAGUCAUGUUGCAAUUGGCGAAGCAUACGUUCUCCAUUGACUGCCAAGCUGGUUUCAUUCUCGGGUGUUUACUUCAAUCAAAUGUUUCUCCUCUCGUUGUCAUCUUUAUACACGCUUGAACCCAUUUAAUUUUUUACUUCCUUUGAUUGCAAUCUGUAUUAUUAUGUCUUAAAAAAGCUGUUGAAAUGAUGGGAAAAAUAAUUAUGAUUCAUAUAACUAAUGAUACUUAUGUGGGUUAA
Musa acuminata AAA Group (dessert banana) is the source of this 679-nucleotide long non-coding RNA. RefSeq lists it as uncharacterized. NCBI's taxonomy places the organism in Eukaryota, Viridiplantae, Streptophyta, Magnoliopsida, Zingiberales, Musaceae. The transcript has 3 exons. The record is from RefSeq and is a predicted model, not a curated record.